This 77-nucleotide transfer RNA is filed under the name Thermomonospora cellulosilytica. RNAcentral describes it as "Actinomadura cellulosilytica tRNA-Met". It matches the Rfam family "tRNA". Rfam says of the family: Transfer RNA (tRNA) molecules are approximately 80 nucleotides in length. Their secondary structure includes four short double-helical elements and three loops (D, anti-codon, and T loops). Lineage: Bacteria; Bacillati; Actinomycetota; Actinomycetes; Streptosporangiales; Thermomonosporaceae. The record is from RNAcentral.
GGCGAGGUAGCUCAGUCAGGCAGAGCAAGCGGCUCAUAAUCGCUGUGUCGCCGGUUCAAGUCCGGCCCUCGCUACCA